RNAcentral lists this transfer RNA (84 nucleotides) under Candidatus Colwelliibacteriota bacterium. RNAcentral's name for it is "Candidatus Colwellbacteria bacterium tRNA-Tyr". It matches the Rfam family "tRNA". Rfam says of the family: Transfer RNA (tRNA) molecules are approximately 80 nucleotides in length. Their secondary structure includes four short double-helical elements and three loops (D, anti-codon, and T loops). Lineage: Bacteria; Candidatus Colwelliibacteriota. The record is from RNAcentral.
GCGCAGGUGGCAGAGUGGUCAAUUGCACCUGACUGUAAAUCAGGCGCCCUAGCGGCUACGCAGGUUCGAAUCCUGCCCUGCGCA